AUUGAACGCUGGCGGCAUGCUUUACACAUGCAAGUCGAACGGCAGCGCGGGCUUCGGCCUGGCGGCGAGUGGCGAACGGGUGAGUAAUGCAUCGGAACGUGCCCAGUAGUGGGGGAUAGCCCGGCGAAAGCCGGAUUAAUACCUCAUACGACCUGAGGGUGAAAGCGGGGGACCGAAAGGCCUCGCGCUAUUGGAGCGGCCGAUGUCGGAUUAGCUAGUUGGUGGGGUAAAGGCUUACCAAGGCGACGAUCCGUAGCUGGUCUGAGAGGACGACCAGCCACACUGGGACUGAGACAAGGCCCAGACUCCUACGGGAGGCAGCAGUGGGGAAUUUUGGACAAUGGGGGCAACCCUGAUCCAGCCAUGCCGCGUGCGGGAAGAAGGCCUUCGGGUUGUAAACCGCUUUUGUUCGGGAAGAAAUCCUCUGGGCUAAUACCCCGGGGGGAUGACGGUACCGGAAGAAUAAGCACCGGCUAACUACGUG
RNAcentral lists this ribosomal RNA (484 nucleotides) under uncultured bacterium. RNAcentral's name for it is "partial 16S ribosomal RNA". It matches the Rfam family "Bacterial small subunit ribosomal RNA", at positions 29 to 507 of the family's 1533-position model. The record is from RNAcentral.